This 740-nucleotide long non-coding RNA is filed under the name Gallus gallus (chicken). The record is from RNAcentral. Lineage: Eukaryota; Metazoa; Chordata; Aves; Galliformes; Phasianidae.
CUGAAGUAUUGCUAUUUCCGUAUUUAAAGGUGAUCAGUUCUGGGUGCUUCUUCUUGGAUGUGAUUUUGACUACAGAGUUGAGUGCCUGUCGAGACUGUAUGUAAGCCAGUCCCUUUCGCGACGGAAUCUCCCUCAAACAAUACAUAUGGGUUGCCGUUACGAGGAGAUGACUGGGAAACAUAUGUCCAUUUUCUUUCACUUCAUUACAGGGGAAGUUAUACUUCACGUCAGGUUUAUUUAUCCACGUUUGGAUGUUGACAACCUCUUUUCGAUCAUCAUCAGACAUUGAAGAGCUGUCAAUUUCAUCAGUGUCGUAUUCUUCUUCAUCUCCGAUGCUGAAUACUGGUUUCACACCACGGUAGGGUUUUCCUACUCUGUCACUGCUGCUGACAUGUCUGUCUACUGGAGUGGAUGUAUUUUCAAUGAAGCUAAUAACUUUUUCUUUCACAUUGACAGAUUUAGUCUUCAAAGCAACUGUCAUUUUAUUCACCAAGGACUUGACUCCUUUUCCAUCACUUGAGCCAUUAGGAGAAUCACCAUCGACAGAGGAGUUUAUGCUACUUCUGGAGCCUGAGGUGCUAGCAAUCCAGUGACCAUAUCCAUUUUCUGGUCCUUCCACAUUGAUAUCUGCUAAGUGCUGCUGAAGGGCCAUAAAUCCUCCCCUGGCUAUGCUCACGUACUCCUUAUUUUUCUGUAAGAAGUGUGCCAGCACCAUGUUCAUAUACAUAUCUUCUUCUUCC